GCUUCACAGAUCAUAACGACCUCCAUUCCUGUAGGACAUCUUGCUAUUUGGGGGUUAGACUUGGACUUAGGCCACAUUUAAUAGCCCCUCCUGAAUAACUCUCCCCUUAAACAAGGUCAGCCUAAGCCUGCUGUGGGUACAUCCUGAUUGGACUGGGGAAGACACGAACUCCUGCAGUGCCUCUGCCCCAUGAAUGCUUUGUGGAAAUUUGCUCAUCUUGCAGUAAAGAAUUGCACAAGUUGAUAAAAGCUAAAAAUAACAGCAGACAGCUGUCCAUCGCGUUGGCUUUAGGAUGAGUCAUGGAAAAGCCAAAGAGUAUUGUCAGCAUAGAAGUUAUAUGGCUUUUACUUCAUUUGGAUAUGCUCUGAAAUGUGUGAAAUAGUCUCAUGAAAGCA
This is a long non-coding RNA of Phasianus colchicus (ring-necked pheasant), 395 nucleotides long. RefSeq lists it as uncharacterized. The record is from RefSeq and is a predicted model, not a curated record. Lineage: Eukaryota; Metazoa; Chordata; Aves; Galliformes; Phasianidae.